AGAAGAAAAGAAGGAGAACCCCUAGAUUAUCAAUUUCUACAAAUUGAAGGGUGAAUUAGGUCUAAAUCUUAUGCAUCAACUGAGAUUAUUGAUCAUCAAUACGUGAUAAUCAUAAGGUGGGAGCAUGGAAAGGAAAGGGUCAAACGAUCAAAGAUGCAAGAAAUCUUGAAUGGACGCAAGGUUUAUACAAGGGCUGGUACCAGACGGACGAUCAAGCACGUGAAGAACCAAACAUUCUUAAACCGCCACCUCCUUGUGAACAUCUUCUCAAAAAGAUAAAAUAUGAUCAUGCGUGACAAAGUUUUGUGUAUAAAACCUUGUUGUCUUUGACUGUAAUUUAAUUGUGUAAUAACCCGUUAAGUCGGUUCGUAUGGGUUAUCAGUUAACCCAGACAUGUAAGCCUUAGGUUGAAAAAAAAAACUAGGACCUAAUCUUACGAAUAUUCUGUAUAAAAAUUGGGUAGAGUGUUACACAUCUCAUGCCAAGAUUUGAACCCUGAAGAGGCAAGAGCCUCUACCAUCCAGCUAUAACUAUAACUGGAAUGGCUGUUUAAAUCGU
Helianthus annuus (common sunflower) is the source of this 558-nucleotide long non-coding RNA. RefSeq lists it as uncharacterized. The transcript has 3 exons. Lineage: Eukaryota; Viridiplantae; Streptophyta; Magnoliopsida; Asterales; Asteraceae. The record is from RefSeq and is a predicted model, not a curated record.